Molecule: long non-coding RNA, 3730 nt
Organism: Lemur catta (Ring-tailed lemur)
Lineage: Eukaryota; Metazoa; Chordata; Mammalia; Primates; Lemuridae
Exons: 3
Source: RefSeq, a predicted model, not a curated record
AAAGAUGCUCAAAAUUAAAAAAAAUAUAAAUCAAAAUAUUUUUUUAGCUACUUUCGUCAAAAAGCUAAAUAUUUUGUAAGGUCUCAGUAUGCAUGUCCGCCCUGUCUUUAUCACGCUGUAACACACCAUCUCUUGGGUUUUGCCAUAACAGUAGGUAACAAGGCUUCCAGGCUCUCUUCAACGCCUCCAAGCUCCCCUUUCUCCAAACACAAAAGGAAGACGAAAACUACAAAUCCCCAUCUGCCCAUCCUGCAGUUCCUGGGAAGAGACAGUCCUCAAAUUGUUCCUGCCUAGACCCCUGAAGCCUGGAGAAGGAGAUGGGGACAGCUGGAGCACGGAGCUUUGUUACGAGAACUUAAUAGAAGAUGCAGUGGCCACGUGAGUGCCCGGGGGAGGCGAGGCCUCUGGAGUCUGCGGGUCCCCUGUGCACAGCAGCCGCUGUAUGGCAGGACAAGCCCUCAUCCCGCCUGCAUCUCCAGCUGCGCACCUAGAGAAUCAUUAAAGCCAGUGCCAUGUGGCUGUGUUGCGGGUAAAUGAGAUAAUGCAAACCUCAUAACAAGUGCUCGUUCACCUCGCUUCUCCUCCCUCCCAGGUAUGGGGAGGCACCGUCUUACCAGGGGGAGCCCCGUGCCACCAUCACAUGUUGCGGUGGCCACGCGACAACAUGGAGGACAACUCAGCCAUGCUGAGACAACACAUACAUAUACAGAAAAUGACUAGAAAGAACAACAUCAAAAUGAGUACCUUAGUUGAAUUUGGGUAGAGAAAUUAUAGGUGGUUAUUUUUCUGUUUUUGUAUUUUCCGAGUAUCCUAUUAUAUGGUUAUGUUACUUUUAGAAAUGUAAUAUUUCAUGGCAAACAAGUAUUUUACUUUAAAAUUGCAUUGAACAAAAAGUGUUAAACUUCAAAACCUAAACAGCAUCUUUAUAGAUUCUCUAUCAAAUGGAGUUAAUUUUAAAAUUCUAGAAUAUAUUCUGAAGCACUAGGUUCUUCUUAAUUCUAACACUUAACCUGGGAGAAGUAAUUUACUCUGAGAGCUGCAUUCUUCACCUAUGAAGUGGGGCUAGUUUUAACUCACAGUUGUGAGGAUGAAAUGAGAUAAUAUGUAAGUACCAUGGAGAUGGAUCAUGUUUUGAAAACUUCAAAGUUUGCAAAGAUAUAAAUAUAAACCCCUUAAAUACCAGAAGAAAAAAUUUUAAAUGUUUAGUAGCUUGAACUCCAACAUUAGAUAGACCUAUAUUCAAAUUUUAGCUCUGCCACCGACAACCUGGAUGACUUUGGGCAACUACUUCACCUUCUCACUACAGUACCUUCUCAGCAGUGUGGGGGUAAUGACCACAUGCCUGUGUUGCUGUGAAAAUUAAAUGAGGUAAGUAACUUAUGUAUAGCACAGUGCUUGUCACAAAAUAAUGGCUCAUUUAAUGUUACCAAUUAUUAUAAUCCUCCAUAAAACCACUUCUGCAGUUAAUGAAACUGAAUAUUAUUAUUAACGUCUCAAUCACUGUUUCACAUUAAGAUACAAAAAUAGAAAAGACAUAUUCCCUACCCUUAAGGUUCUCACAGUCAAUAAAAGAAAUGGAAAUAUAUUUCAAAGAUCAUAGGAGACUACAAUAACUAAUAAAAUCAAAUUUUAUAUCUAUUACUAUGAGAAUAAAGACAAAGGGGAACAGGAUUGGUUACAAUGAGGAAUGUAUCAAAAUCUCAAAGGAGAUGAUAUUUUAGUUGGAUCCUGAAAGACUGGGUAUGAUUUUGUCCAUUAAUGAAGGAAAAAUACAAAAUUAAAAAUCCAAGCCAGGCAUGAUGGCACAUGCUUGUAAUCCCAGCUACUCAGGAGGGUGAGGUGGGAGGAUCAUUUGAAUCCAAGAUUUCGAGUCCAGGCUGGGCAACCUAGCGAGAUCCCAUCUCUUAAAAAAAAAAGUCUAUACAGUGCUCAGGCCAUUGAGACUUGUCUCAUCAGAUGGAACACUGAGAGGGGAAAGGCUGGCUGUAAAAAGAAGAAAUAUUAUGAUCUAAUUGUGAAGAGCUUUAUAAAAAUGCCCUGCCCCAUUAUUUGGACUUUAUGCACAAUAGGGAAAUCAAAGGAGGAUUAAAGAACACAAUCAUACCUAAAAUUUAGAAAAAUAACUGGUAAAAUUAGGUUGACUUAACAGUGCCAGGAAAGACUUCCCAGGGAUGACAUUUGGAAGAAGAGUCUGGGAAGGUCAUCCCAGGUGGCGUGUGGGAGACACAGACCUGAGGACCUGCCAAGCGCAUCUCCGGCUUCUGGAGCAUAGCAGAGUGGGGGCAGCGGAGGUGAUGUGGAAGACACGGGCCAAGACAGCGACACCUUUGCCCAGGAAUGUGGGCUUCAAGGGCAAGAGAGAAAGGCCUGCGAUGGUAGAGCGAUCUGAGAAGAUGACGUUGUGGAAAAACAGGGGCUGGAGGAACAGGCAGGAAAUCACAAGAGUGAAAACUCAGCCCAGAAGAGGGAAGAGCAGAUGGACUCAAGAGACAUUUGAGGGGACCAUUCAGUCUAGCCUGGGAGGGAAAAAAAAUGAGUAUGUUCUAUUUUUUACCAUUUUUCUAUUCAAAAAGCACUCACUAUUCCCCUCUACCUAUGGAUUAAAAUGUCAAUGCUAGCAUUCAAGGCCUUCCUAGUCUGACCUCUCUGCCUUUUUAUCCACUUUCCUUACACCCUACGGUCCCUCUACUUGGACUGUCCUCUCUGCCAUGUCAAACCCCAUCUGACGAUUGAGGCCUGACUAAUUCCAUGCCACCCACAAGGCCUUCCGAGCUCUCCUGGUGCCUCUCCCCUCAAACAAAGCCUCCAGUGUUGUAAAUUAAUAAACCCUCAUCAUGUGGUAACGACCCUCUCCUAUUACUAGGUACUACUGUAUGAUUCUUUAACAGCUGUUUACAUUUCUAUGUGCCUUGUCUGUAUGUUUCCUUCAUAGAACUGCAAAGAAAUGUCAAGCACAUGACCGCAGCUAGACAAUCCAAGGCAAGAUGAAUGUCAGAAGAUUUUGGCUUCCUGGAAAAAACUCACCAUGGACUUUGGUUAUUCAGAAUUAGCUACUUCUUCUGUAAGGCUAUCAGGAACUAUGGACCUCACAACAUGAAGGAAAAUAAGCCUUGGCAUCAUUUAAGGCUAUACCGAUGAAGCAAGGAGAGAAAGGAACACUUAACGACAAGCCGCGAUACAAAAGGAGAAGGUGUGUGCAAUCCUGUUUAACAACCUUCGCAUCUUUUGUCACAGUUUAACUUGCGCACACACGUACACACAUAAGUGUUGCGAUAAUCCAACAGACGUCUGCACCCGGCACUGUGGGGUUAAUUCUCUGACUCCCACACAGCAGGUGGUCACAAUCUAACAGCAAUAUUUACUAGGAGAGUCUGACAGCUUCCUAGGGAACAUCCCUAGAGCUUCUAGAAGGAUGCUACACGUGAGAUCUAGAAAGAUGCUACACGUGAGAAAAACGAAUAGUCUGAAAAACUGAAAUGUUUCAGUCAAGCUUACAUGAUUUUAUAAUUUUUAAAAACAAAUCCAAAGAACAGUAUUUUAUUUCAGCGGUCUUCUAUGAGCAAUUUGAUAUACAAAAACUGUUUUCUUAAAAGUCUCAACCAUAAGAAAAUACUUUUUAUUCUUUGAGAUUUCUUUAAAUGUUUUUAUUAUCAACAUCACCUCUCUGUAAUUUGUAUUUAGCUACCACACCUCAAAUUAUUUGCUUUAAUUAAAACUAUAAUAAUUAAAA